Molecule: ribosomal RNA, 253 nt
Filed under: uncultured bacterium
Lineage: Bacteria
Description: partial 16S ribosomal RNA
Rfam family: Bacterial small subunit ribosomal RNA
Source: RNAcentral
UACGUAGGGAGCAAGCGUUGUCCGGAUUUAUUGGGCGUAAAGAGCUCGUAGGCGGUUCCGUAAGUCAGGUGUGAAAAAUCUGGGCUCAACCCAGUGGAGCACCUGAUACUGCGGUGACUCGAGUCCGGUAGGGGAGUGUGGAAUUCCUGGUGUAGCGGUGAAAUGCGUAGAUAUCCGGAGGAACACCGAUGGCGAAGGCAGCUUCCUGGCCCACAACUGACGCUGAGGUGCGAAAGCGUGGGGAGCGAACGGG